This is a non-coding RNA of Ictidomys tridecemlineatus (thirteen-lined ground squirrel), 548 nucleotides long. NCBI's taxonomy places the organism in Eukaryota, Metazoa, Chordata, Mammalia, Rodentia, Sciuridae. The record is from RefSeq and is a predicted model, not a curated record.
GGCGGGAAGGCGUGGCGGGAGAGACUUACCGAGACUCUGAGUGUGGUGGGCCAGCCAUCAUCCAGCACGGGGCCCUGGUCGGGGUCCUCCAGGGAAUACUCCACCGAGAAGACUCCCGUGACAUGGCUGUGGCAGGUGGGGCUACACCCCGAGGACUACAGGUCAGGGACAGUCCAACAGGCACGAGGACUUCUCACACCCCUUUGCUUUCUGGCCACAGGCUGUGAGCACCCAGGCCAGCCCCCCUCCCUCCUGAGUUUCGUCCCCUGCUAAGGAAGCCAUGGGUGUCUGACAGCUGGAAGCAGGGCUUUGGAAGAGGUAGGUGGACAUACACCCCCCGGGCUCCUCUCUGGGGCAUGAGUUGGGGCGUGGGUGGCCAAGGUCCAGAGCACGACCCCGAGCUGGCCUCCUGUGGACCACUGCAGGCUCAGAAGGGGCCUGACACCCGCCAGGCUCUCACCCCUCCAGUUCUGUGUCCCCUGCAGAAGGGGCGACUGCGCUCACCAGGACGUGGAAGUUGAUGCGCUGACAGUGCUCCUGGCCCGAGG